Molecule: ribosomal RNA, 469 nt
Filed under: uncultured bacterium
Lineage: Bacteria
Description: bacterial SSU rRNA
Rfam family: Bacterial small subunit ribosomal RNA
Source: RNAcentral
UAUCCAGACUCCUACGGGAGGCAGCAGUGAGGAAUAUUGGUCAAUGGGCGGAAGCCUGAACCAACCAAGUCGCGUGAGGGAAGAAGGCCCUGCGGGUCGCAGACCUCUUUGGACGGGGAGCAAGGCCGCCGACGCGUCGGCGGAAGGAGAGUACCCGUAGAAUAAGCAUCGGCUAACUCCGUGCCAGCAGCCGCGGUAAUACGUAGGUGGCAAGCGUUGUCCGGAUUUACUGGGUGUAAAGGGCGUGUAGCCGGGCUGACAAGUCAGAUGUGAAAUUCCGGGGCUCAACCCCGGACCUGCAUUUGAAACUGUUGGUCUUGAGUAUCGGAGAGGCAGGCGGAAUUCCUAGUGUAGCGGUGAAAUGCGUAGAUAUUAGGAGGAACACCAGUGGCGAAGGCGGCCUGCUGGACGACAACUGACGGUGAGGCGCGAAAGCGUGGGGAGCAAACAGGAUUAGAUACCCCUGUAU